AUCGCCUACGGGGGGCAGCAGUGGGGAAUAUUGCACAAUGGGGGAAACCCUGAUGCAGCGACGCCGCGUGAGUGAAGAAGUAUUUCGGUAUGUAAAGCUCUAUCAGCAGGAACGAGACAAGACGGUACCUGACUAAGAAGCCCCGGCUAACUACGUGCCAGCAGCCGCGGUAAUACGUAGGGGGCAAGCGUUAUCCGGAUGUACUGGGUGUAAAGGGAGCGUAGACGGCAGAGCAAGUCCGGAGUGAAAGCCCGGAGC
Molecule: ribosomal RNA, 258 nt
Filed under: uncultured bacterium
Lineage: Bacteria
Description: partial 16S ribosomal RNA
Rfam family: Bacterial small subunit ribosomal RNA
Source: RNAcentral